This 1432-nucleotide ribosomal RNA is filed under the name uncultured organism. Its description in RNAcentral is "16S ribosomal RNA". It matches the Rfam family "Bacterial small subunit ribosomal RNA". The record is from RNAcentral.
GCUUAACACAUGCAAGUCGAACGGAAAGGCCCUGCUUUUGUGGGGUGCUCGAGUGGCGAACGGGUGAGUAACACGUGAGUAACCUGCCCUUGACUUUGGGAUAACUUCAGGAAACUGGGGCUAAUACCGGAUAGGAGCUCCUGCUGCAUGGUGGGGGUUGGAAAGUUUCGGCGGUUGGGGAUGGACUCGCGGCUUAUCAGCUUGUUGGUGGGGUAGUGGCUUACCAAGGCUUUGACGGGUAGCCGGCCUGAGAGGGUGACCGGCCACAUUGGGACUGAGAUACGGCCCAGACUCCUACGGGAGGCAGCAGUGGGGAAUAUUGCACAAUGGGCGGAAGCCUGAUGCAGCAACGCCGCGUGCGGGAUGACGGCCUUCGGGUUGUAAACCGCUUUCGCCUGUGACGAAGCGUGAGUGACGGUAAUGGGUAAAGAAGCACCGGCUAACUACGUGCCAGCAGCCGCGGUGAUACGUAGGGUGCGAGCGUUGUCCGGAUUUAUUGGGCGUAAAGGGCUCGUAGGUGGUUGAUCGCGUCGGAAGUGUAAUCUUGGGGCUUAACCCUGAGCGUGCUUUCGAUACGGGUUGACUUGAGGAAGGUAGGGGAGAAUGGAAUUCCUGGUGGAGCGGUGGAAUGCGCAGAUAUCACGAGGAACACCAAUGGCGAAGGCGGUUCUCUGGGCCUUUCCUGACGCUGAGGAGCGAAAGCGUGGGGAGCGAACAGGCUUAGAUACCCUGGUAGUCCACGCUGUAAACGGUGGGUACUAGGUGUGGGGUCCAUUCCACGGGUUCCGUGCCGUAGCUAACGCUUUAAGUACCCCGCCUGGGGAGUACGGCCGCAAGGCUAAAACUCAAAGGAAUUGACGGGGCCCCGCACAAGCGGCGGAGCAUGCGGAUUAAUUCGAUGCAACGCGUAGAACCUUACCUGGGUUUGACAUGGAUCGGGAGUGCUCAGAGAUGGGUGUGCCUCUUUUGGGGUCGGUUCACAGGUGGUGCAUGGCUGUCGUCAGCUCGUGUCGUGAGAUGUUGGGUUAAGUCCCGCAACGAGCGCAACCCUUGUUCACUGUUGCCAGCACGUUAUGGUGGGGACUCAGUGGAGACCGCCGGGGUCAACUCGGAGGAAGGUGGGGAUGACGUCAAGUCAUCAUGCCCCUUAUGUCCAGGGCUUCACGCAUGCUACAAUGGCUGGUACAGAGAGUGGCGAGCCUGUGAGGGUGAGCGAAUCUCGGAAAGCCGGUCUCAGUUCGGAUUGGGGUCUGCAACUCGACCUCAUGAAGUCGGAGUCGCUAGUAAUCGCAGAUCAGCAACGCUGCGGUGAAUACGUUCCCGGGGCUUGUACACACCGCCCGUCAAGUCAUGAAAGUUGGUAACACCCGAAGCCGGUGGCCUAACCGUUGUGGGGGAGCCGUCGAAGGUGGGACUGGUGAUUAGGACUAAG